RNAcentral lists this transfer RNA (73 nucleotides) under Methanobacteriota archaeon. Its description in RNAcentral is "tRNA-Gly". It matches the Rfam family "tRNA". Rfam says of the family: Transfer RNA (tRNA) molecules are approximately 80 nucleotides in length. Their secondary structure includes four short double-helical elements and three loops (D, anti-codon, and T loops). Lineage: Archaea; Methanobacteriati; Methanobacteriota. The record is from RNAcentral.
GCGCUGGUAGUGUAGUCGGUUAUCACUGAGGCUUGCCAAGCCUCAAACCCGGGUUCGAAUCCCGGCUAGCGCA